CAGUCGCCACGGUAAUACGUAGGGUGCGAGCGUUAAUCGGAAUUACUGGGCGUAAAGCGUGCGCAGGCGGUUUUGUAAGACAGAGGUGAAAUCCCCGGGCUCAACCUGGGAACUGCAUUUGUGACUGUAUAGCUAGAGUACGGCAGAGGGGGAUGGAAUUCCGCGUGUAGCAGUGAAAUGCGUAGAUAUGCGGAGGAACACCGAUGGCGAAGGCAAUCCCCUGGGCCUGUACUGACGCUCAUGCACGAAAGCGUGGGGAGCAAACAGGAUUAGAUACCCGCGUAGUCCCUGUCUCUUAUAC
This 301-nucleotide ribosomal RNA is filed under the name uncultured bacterium. RNAcentral describes it as "partial 16S ribosomal RNA". It matches the Rfam family "Bacterial small subunit ribosomal RNA", at positions 509 to 807 of the family's 1533-position model. The record is from RNAcentral.